GAAUUCUGCAGAGAUGCGGAAGUGCCUUCGGGAACUGUGAGACAGGUGCUGCAUGGCUGUCGUCAGCUCGUGUUGUGAAAUGUUGGGUUAAGUCCCGCAACGAGCGCAACCCUUAUCCUUUGUUGCCAGCGGUCCGGCCGGGAACUCAAAGGAGACUGCCAGUGAUAAACUGGAGGAAGGUGGGGAUGACGUCAAGUCAUCAUGGCCCUUACGACCAGGGCUACACACGUGCUACAAUGGCGCAUACAAAGAGAAGCGACCUCGCGAGAGCAAGCGGACCUCAUAAAGUGCGUCGUAGUCCGGAUUGGAGUCUGCAACUCGACUCCAUGAAGUCGGAAUCGCUAGUAAUCGUGGAUCAGAAUGCCACGGUGAAUACGUUCCCGGGCCUUGUACACACCGCCCGUCACACCAUGGGAGUGGGUUGCAAAAGAAGUAGGUAGCUUAACCUUCGGGAGGGCGCUUACCACUUUGUGAUUCAUGACUGGGGUGAAGUCGUAACAAGGUAACCGUAGGGGAACCUGC
This 522-nucleotide ribosomal RNA is filed under the name Salmonella enterica subsp. enterica serovar Mbandaka. Its description in RNAcentral is "bacterial SSU rRNA". It matches the Rfam family "Bacterial small subunit ribosomal RNA", at positions 993 to 1515 of the family's 1533-position model. The record is from RNAcentral. Lineage: Bacteria; Pseudomonadati; Pseudomonadota; Gammaproteobacteria; Enterobacterales; Enterobacteriaceae.